Molecule: ribosomal RNA, 253 nt
Filed under: uncultured bacterium
Lineage: Bacteria
Description: partial 16S ribosomal RNA
Rfam family: Bacterial small subunit ribosomal RNA
Source: RNAcentral
UACGUAGGUGACCAGCGUUGUCCGGAUUUACUGGGCGUAAAGAGCGCGCAGGCGGUCGUUCAAGUCGAGUGUGAAAGCCCCCGGCUCAACUGGGGAGGGUCACUCGAUACUGAUCGACUUGAAGGCAGGAGAGGGAAGCGGAAUUCCCGGUGUAGUGGUGAAAUGCGUAGAUAUCGGGAGGAACACCAGUGGCGAAGGCGAGUCCCUGGACAAUUCCUGACGCUGAGGCACGAAAGCUAGGGGAGCAAACAGG